This 497-nucleotide ribosomal RNA is filed under the name uncultured bacterium. Its description in RNAcentral is "partial 16S ribosomal RNA". It matches the Rfam family "Bacterial small subunit ribosomal RNA", at positions 28 to 507 of the family's 1533-position model. The record is from RNAcentral.
GAUGAACGCUGGCGGCGUGCCUAAUACAUGCAAGUCGAGCGAACAGACGAGGAGCUUGCUCCUCUGACGUUAGCGGCGGACGGGUGAGUAACACGUGGAUAACCUACCUAUAAGACUGGGAUAACUUCGGGAAACCGGAGCUAAUACCGGAUAAUAUAUUGAACCGCAUGGUUCAAUAGUGAAAGACGGUUUUGCUGUCACUUAUAGAUGGAUCCGCGCCGCAUUAGCUAGUUGGUAAGGUAACGGCUUACCAAGGCAAUGAUGCGUAGCCGACCUGAGAGGGUGAUCGGCCACACUGGAACUGAGACACGGUCCAGACUCCUACGGGAGGCAGCAGUAGGGAAUCUUCCGCAAUGGGCGUAAGCCUGACGGAGCAACGCCGCGUGAGUGAUGAAGGUCUUCGGAUCGUAAAACUCUGUUAUUAGGGAAGAACAAAUGUGUAAGUAACUAUGCACGUCUUGACGGUACCUAAUCAGAAAGCCACGGCUAACUACGUG